AUCAUGAACGCCAUGACAACAACAACAAAAACAGCUGAUCCGCUUCUGCAAAUGUCACAACAUCAGGAAGCGAUCCGUCUCAGCCUCCGUCUGCUGAGACUCAAGGUGAAGGCGCAGUCACACACACAACGUCUGCCUCAGUAACAGUUAACACCUGCUGAGAAACUGGGAAGUAACUGUUUCGCACAGAAGAUAAAAGACAAAGAAUCACCCGGCGUUAAGAGAGAAAUAGACACUGUAAUAUAAUGCUCAUAAACAUAAAGCAUACUCAUAAACAAUAGGAAUGUUUAAUUAAAGUAUAAAUCUCCAUGACUGAAAUCAAGACGCCCAACUGGAAAACUAUCCAGAGUAAUGUUACUGCAUGUUUUAAAGGACAUCAAGGCAUUGUGUUUGUCAAACACAAACAUCACUCAGUCACAUUAAAACCUCUGCUGAAGUAUUUAAUGUGACCAAAUGAAUUCAUACACAGUCAAUGAGUCCAUCCUCAUCCUCCCUAAUGCAGAAGAAGACCCAUGCAUUUAUCCAAGGUUCGAUGUUGCUGUCUGGUGAAAACUCGUACUUAAAGAAGUCUGAUUCAUGAAUCAACAGAAUGAUUUACAGGCUGACAGGUGAAGAUGUCACACAGGUACGGAAAGCUAUCCUCCAUCAGGUGCUUAUUACAUGUUUAUGAACAACAUCUGGCCUCAGAUGAACACAGACAGUUUCAGAAUUUUGCUUUUGUGUGAAAUGAAACUGGUUUUCAGAGAAUUUCAGUCGAGCGGGUCCAAUUUCAAGUAACUAUUUCAUGUUUUAAUGGAGUCUUCUUUUUUCCUUUUUCUUUUAUUUGGCUCAUUGCCUACAAAAAAAGCUUCACACAUUUUAUCACAACAAGUGACAGAAAACCAUAAAAGAUAAGCAAAGAGGGAAACAACUGCAAAAACACACAGAGAUGGAGGCAAACCGAGGUGGCCAAACAGUUUUUAAAAUAGUAGAGGAAGGAAGAGGCUGACAGGAUGGAUGAGGAAAGACUGUGUUUGACUGUUUAUCUGUUGUUCUAUUUUAUAUAAACCAGUUCACACUGAAUAUGACCAACGGACAGACUCUUUUUGACCUGGUAGAGCGUCUGCAUCUAAUGACAUCUAAUAAUAAAUAAGUAAAUACCUACACACAAGGAAAAAGAGGAAGAAAGAGGCCACCCAUGCUCCUGACUCAUGCUGAAAUGUUUGACAGACAGCACGGGCGGCCUCCGCAGAAGAAAAGGAGAAAGAAAAAAUCAGCCUGGAGGCAGCAAAGACGUGUAAGAACUCCAGUCGUACACUCCCAGUGUGAUUGUAGGAAUCUCUCCCAGCAGCUCUCACUCUUCAUGUGGAAGCGAAAUGUGAGAUUCUAAUAUUUCAGGAAACAUUUGGAAAGAAAAACAGACACAAAUAUACAAAUUCUAUGUUUUAUUUCUAUCUUGUAACAGAGACAAUUUGUGAUUUGAUUUGAAAACAAAUGAAAUACAAAUAAAAAAUACAGAUAGUUUCUGUUGUUUCCUUUUCUUAAUUGUAAUAAUCUAAUCAUUUCAUAUCUACCCAGCGACAAUGCAUGGUGCAAAACAUCCCUGAUUGAUUAAAAAAAUCCUACACUAAUAAGCUUGCGGUAUCUAGCGCUAAAAUUGGUCGGUAAAAACAAAAGAAGAACAAAAAAAGAGUUGAACUAAAGAUCAGAUUCUUAGAGGUAAGAACGACAGUAAACAGAGGAACGUUUAAAAAAAAUGUCCGAAGCAGAGGUUUGUACAGCUGUGGAAAUGGGAAUGAAAGUUUCAGCACUAUAUUAUCUCUUACAGAAGCCUCUUAAUUGUUUUGCAUUGCUGAAGACACACUCUCCAUUGGAGAUGGCCUCCACAACAUCAGAGCUCUCAAGCCUUGUAUUAAAUUUUUAUUAUGCUAUUAGACUUUAAUACCAUAAAUGUCUCUAUGUUUUCAGAUCUCUUUCUACAACAUGACAAGUGUACGCACAGAAGGCAGGUCUGUGUCAUUUACAAAUCAAAAGAAAUGUCCUUCAAAGCACCAGAUCUGAACAUUGUUCCCCCACGGGCUCACCACUAUGUCUACAUUAGAAACUCAUCUCAGUUUAGCCACCUUUAAAACUUAAAACAGAAACUGCAAGACUUGUAAAUAUCCUGUAAUAAUGAUGUUUAUAGAUGUAUUCUCCUCAGUAUAUGAAUAUAAAUAUGAUUUCCUCAAACCAUUUGUUUUAAUUUAAAUUUCACUUCCUGAGUUGAUCUUACUGGAUGUGAAUUGAAACAUGAGCACACAACGAGGUCCAAUGUUUUGUUUUUGUUUUUUCCACCUGCCUGCUCCGACACAAUGCAGUUAUAUGAGUCGCAUUGUAUGAGAUUGUUAGAAAGCCAAGCAGGAUUCUGAAUAAAGCUUACUUACAUUGAUUUGAUUUUGAUUUUUUUUAAAAACAAAACAUCUUUUUAUUAUUCUGAGGUACUGAGUUGAAAACCUCUUGCUGUCAAAGUGGAAGGAGAAAAGGCGGCAGGGCCGGAUGACGGCUGAAUUCCAUCUUCCCCCACCCUCUGCUUAAGUACGUGCGUAUGCACUACACUCAGCUUGGACCAAUAUUUACUGUCUUUGCAAUCUGGAGAGCUGUUUGUCACGUGUGUUCAUACUUGGACAGAGGGCUGAAGAAUGAGGACAGACAGCAGACAAAUAAAACCAGACACACCAAUUAUGUAACGGAGGAAGAGUGUGUUUGGAUUAUUAGAAAUGGGCAGUGAGAUACCCUGAAACUCUGUACAAAGAAAUGUUUUUCACCAGCUGCAACAGCCGGAGGACACCCUGUAUGCCAACUGAACUUAACACAGACAAAAAGGAAUGAAAAAUGUCCCGUCCGUGACAUUAAGUGGUGAUAUAGAUUGUUCCUUUUUUCAAAGCCUGUGUAUGAACAAGCAAAAGGUGUGGUGAAUGUGUUGUUUGAGGGUUCACAGUUGUCACAAGAUCCACUUUGAUCAUUUCUAAUAUAUACUGUGUGGAAACACUCUCUAUGGCUCUUUAUGCUUAUUUCAACAGCAAGCAGGAUGACAGAAAAGUUAGAACACACUCGCCGCAACUGAGAACGACUGCCGUCACAAGCACUUCCGUAUUCUUGCCAAUAUAAUUUACAUAGCACAAUCUAAGAAGCACACAAAAUUAUUUAUUAAUUGCUAUACACUUAGGAAUUACCUGAUGUUGCAACCAAAACUUCAAGCUACGUUAAUUGGGAAUCUGCUGUAUAUGAUUAUCUCGAGUAUAUUAUGUCUGUCUCGACAGUAAAAUGAGGAUUUGUGCUCAGGUUCCUCACCAAGCUUAAAGGACUGUCUGCUAAUGUCAGAAAUCGAUUUGUUAGUCAGUGCAAUCUGAACGUUUCGACUAAAAUAAACCGACUCUUUGUUUUUAUGAGGGUUGAUUUGGAAAGAUAAGAGCAAGAAUUCAUCAGGCUCAUCUCUCUCCACAACAAACUAAAUAUAAUAAAACAUUCAAACAACUUUCUUAUCAGAGCGACUCGAGUAAGCAGUGAUAAAGUUCAAAUCAGAUAAAUAGUGGUAUCUACUCAUGGAACAUACCAACUGCACAUGGUGAUAGUGCGUUAUGUGGGUAUGGAGCAACAGAAGCAGAGACAGAUCAAUUCAUUUCCUGCUCACAAACUUGCUUAACCACUUCAUAAUCCUUCAACAAUCAUUAGAAAAAACAUUUUGCACUGAAGAGAUCUCCAAUCAAAUCUUUUUUUUUGUGAUUAAAAAAAAAGGGCAACAUCUGGUACUGAGAGCAGCUUUGGGCCGUCCAUGAAUUCACACUAAAUAUUAUCUUUGGCUAAAUCACACUGAAGCAACAUGUGAAAUGCCACUUUGUUUUAACAAAGUGUAAGCUGGAGCUUUAUCUCUUCAAGCUGCUGCAUCGUCAGUUCAAGGUUCCACACUCAAAAGGCGAAAAAGCAGCCGGCGUGCACGGCGAAGCUGCUGACGGACAUGACAAAGCAAUGGCAAACACAAAGUGAUAAGCGCGAUGGCAUGAGUCAAAUAAAACUUUUAUUCAUCUUCAGCUUCCAUUGAACUAAAAACAAAAAAACGAGAAAAAGAAAAUAAAAUAAAAAUCAAAUGUCAGUUUCAUGUAUCUACAAAAAGAAAAGAAAGAAAAAAAAAGAAAAACUAUUUCACAUCCAUGACCGUGUUCUCAAUCGUUUUUAAAAGGGAAGAGGAAAAAAAUGUUAUUAUCUCAUCAUGAAUCCAUUUCAUUCAAGGAUUCAUCUGCACAUACAUCCACCUGUGCACCCUGUGUGUGUGUGUGUGUGUGUGUGUGUGUGUGUGUGUGUGUGGUAUGUGCCAUUACCGCUUGACCGUGCAACUUCCUCCCACCCCCUCCCCAACCCAUUACACAGAUAUACACAGACUUCUGAAACAGGAUGUACAAAAGCUUGUGUUUAGCAUUAAACAGUGCAGAGCCUUAACGUAAACAAGCUAAGGCUCCUCUUUCUCUCUCCCACUUCCUGUACCCAGGUUUGAAAUUACAUCAUGGAUGGGUAGAGUAUCCCAUCUUUACAUAAAGACAGGGAAACAGAACAGACGAUACAGGAGGAAAGAAAAAAAUAGAAACAUACAUACACAACACAGCGAUUCCCUCUGCAUCAUUCUCACUGCUGUUUUUUUCUUUAUACACACACA
Molecule: long non-coding RNA, 4666 nt
Organism: Larimichthys crocea (large yellow croaker)
Lineage: Eukaryota; Metazoa; Chordata; Actinopteri; Sciaenidae
Exons: 2
Source: RefSeq, a predicted model, not a curated record